Non-coding RNA from Labrus bergylta (ballan wrasse), 273 nucleotides. The record is from RefSeq and is a predicted model, not a curated record. NCBI's taxonomy places the organism in Eukaryota, Metazoa, Chordata, Actinopteri, Labriformes, Labridae.
AUAAUCUCGUUUGAAGUGGAGCUUCAACCAUAAUCCCAUAUUGUCCUUUGUAUGUUUCAGUGAUUUUGCCAGUCUUCAUCGCCACCAUUGUCGUCUUCCUGGUGCUAGUAUGUGCUCUACUCUUUGUUAUCAGGGCUCAGAGGACUCAACACAACCUGGUUAAGAGUCAGGGGUCAGGUAAUGCCAGCACAGUUGCCAUGAGCCAACAUCUACCAAGUGGAGAAGGAAACGAGGAACCCAACAAAACAGAUGAGGACAUUUAUGUCAACACCU